This 357-nucleotide long non-coding RNA is filed under the name Androctonus crassicauda. The record is from RNAcentral. Lineage: Eukaryota; Metazoa; Arthropoda; Arachnida; Scorpiones; Buthidae.
AGAACAUUAUGGUAAAUCUACAGAGCAGUUUAUAAUAGAAUCACAAGCAGAGCCCCUAGAAAAAGAUCCAACAGUAUCCAACAGUAUCCUUAGCAUCUGAAGUAACUGCUCUUUGUAAGAAGAAGCUAUCUAUGUUCAUAAGUAUGAAACAAAUCAAUAACCUGGCAUUCCCAAGAAUCUUUGUAUACAUCAAGAUGCAUAAACAUCCAGCAGCAGCCAGACCAAUAGUAGAAAAAAGACACUCCCUAAUCUUUAAUAUUAAAAAGAGCUUUGCAGAAUGGUGCAUGAACAAAAUGAAAAGGUAUCAAUAUGUUGUACAAUCACCACAACAGUUGGUAAUUAAAAUUUUAAAUCACA